GAACGGUACAGGUUAAGCUGACGAGUGGCGAACGGGUGAGUAAUAUAUCGGAACGUGCCCAGUAGUGGGGGAUAGCCCUGGCGAAAGCCGGAUUAAUACCUGCAUACGACCUACGGGUGAAAGCGGGGGAUCGCAAGACCUCGCGCUAUUGGAGCGGCCGAUAUCAGAUUAGCUAGUUGGUGGGGUAAAAGCUCACCAAGGCGACGAUCUGUAGCUGGUCUGAGAGGACGACCAGCCACACUGGGACUUGAGACACGGCCCAGACUCCUACGGGAGGCAGCAGUGGGGAAUUUUGGACAAUGGACGCAAGUCUGAUCCAGCCAUGCCGCGUGCGGGAAGAAGGCCUUCGGGUUGUAAACCGCUUUUGUCAGGGGAAGAAAAGCUCCGAACUAAUAUUUUGGGGUGAUGACGGUACCUGAAGAAUAAGCACCGGCUAACUACGUGCCAGCAGCCGCGGUAAUACGUAGGGUGCAAGCGUUAAUCGGAAUUACUGGGCGUAAAGCGUGCGCAGGCGGGUCCUAUAAGAUAGAUGUGAAAUCCCCGGGCUCAACCUGGGACUGCAUUGUGACUGUAAAGCUGGAGUGCCGGCAAAGGGGGGAUGGGAAUUUCCCGCGUGUACCAGUUGAAAUUGCGUAAAAUUGCGGAGGACACACCGGAUUGGCGAAAGGGAAUUCCCCUGGGGC
RNAcentral lists this ribosomal RNA (683 nucleotides) under uncultured bacterium. RNAcentral's name for it is "bacterial SSU rRNA". It matches the Rfam family "Bacterial small subunit ribosomal RNA", at positions 64 to 735 of the family's 1533-position model. The record is from RNAcentral.